UCUCAUUUUCUAUUGGUUGGCCGCCAUGUUUCGUCGGAGUUGCGCAGAUUUCAGAUUUAGUUUGUUUAUGUUUAUUUGUCAAAACGUGUUCAGCAGAUGAGUUGUCAAGUUUGUGGAAAUUACCGGCUUCGACUUUCGAUUAUCCGAAUUUUUCAUAUUUCAAAAUGCAGCUGUUGGAUGUUCAAAUUCUACAGAGAAGGGUUUCAUUAUGAAAUGCUUUCCAAGGGAUCCUGUCAGACGAAAUGAUUGGGCAUUAAGAACAAGACGAGCUAACUGGUUCCCCACUAAUAAUUCUUAUUUGUGUGAAGCACACUUCGCUCCUGAUAUGUGAGAGAAGGUGAGAGUUGAAACAAUGCUGUUCCUACAAUAUUUCCUUUCCUAUACAAUAAUGAGAAGCAAGCAGAUAGUACCCAAUGCUCUGCAAGUAAAAAACAACCUGAAGCUGAUAUCUGUUGCACAAUAUUUGAAAAACCCAAGUAAUAGUAGUUACGACAAUGAUGAUAGAGAGUUUCUAUCAGGAUUUUUAGACACUAUUACCCCAAAGAUCUAUAAAUGUGAUGCAGUUAAAAUUCCGAAAAGUGUUGAACUCAAUUCCUUUUAUAACAUAUGUGGAUACCUGAUAACAAGCAUCAAAAGAACCUGGAGAGUGUGUAACACUUGCAUCUCCUCUGUUGGAUCAAAAAGUCCUACAAAUAAUAAAUAUUCAAAUUUCACACAAUUGAAAAGAUUCAGGACUCAUUCUUUGUUCUUUUGCAAUGAAACAACCUUCAAUUUUUUCAUUAAAUUAAAAUCUAUUUUUGUUCAAUAUAUAAAUGUUAUUGAAAAUCAAAAUGUAGAACUAAAGAAGUUUUAUAUUGAUAAAAUGAUUGCUGUUCGGUCAGAAAUUGUAAACCAUCGUCAUAAUUUGAAACAUAAAAUUAUAAUACGUUUUGUUGUGUACAGAUUGUGAAUAAGGUCAAAAAAAAAAAAACUUCUUUCCAGAGUUAUGGCCAGUAAGUCUAUGGCUGGUCAUUCCAGGUAAAUUUAUUAAUGAAAAAUUAUAAUUCCUACUUGUGUGUAGUUCUUGAGUUAUUUCUUAGUUAUAAUUUAAGUUAGAAAUUAAAGAUAACGAAUA
Harmonia axyridis is the source of this 1114-nucleotide long non-coding RNA. RefSeq lists it as uncharacterized. Lineage: Eukaryota; Metazoa; Arthropoda; Insecta; Coleoptera; Coccinellidae. The transcript is spliced from 2 exons. The record is from RefSeq and is a predicted model, not a curated record.